CCUAUGGGUGCAUCAGCUUCAACUGACCAUCGCGGAUCUCGUGGUUGAAGUUCAUGACACCCAUCAUCCGCUCGGGCCGACGCUUUAUUACGAAGAUCAGCGCCCCGCCGCCAAGACGCGCACCGGCGAAUUCUGGAGUGAUCGUGUGCCGAAGUUUCUCGGCUAUUUCGAGCGGCUGAUCGGCGCCAGCGGCGGGCCGUA
This 201-nucleotide unclassified non-coding RNA is filed under the name Hevea brasiliensis (rubber tree). The record is from RNAcentral. Lineage: Eukaryota; Viridiplantae; Streptophyta; Magnoliopsida; Malpighiales; Euphorbiaceae.